AUUGAACGCUGGCGGCAUGCCUAACACAUGCAAGUCGAGCGGAUGAAGGGAGCUUGCUCCUCGCUUCAGCUGCCGACGGGUGAGUAAUGCCCAGGAAUCUGCCCUGCCGUUGAGGAUAACGUCCGGAAACGGGCGCGAAUAUCGCAUACGUUCUGAUGGUGAACGUGGUGGAUCUUCGGACCUCACGCUUUCAGAUGAGCCUAGGUCGGAUUAGCUAGUUGGUUGGGUAAAGGCCUACCAAGGCGACGAUCCGUAACUGGUCUGAGAGGAUGAUCAGUCACACUGGAACUGAGACACGGUCCAGACUCCUACGGGAGGCAGCAGUGGGGAAUAUUGGACAAUGGGCGAAAGCCUGAUCCAGCCAUGCCGCGUGUGUGAAGAAGGUCUUCGGAUUGUAAAACACUUUUAGUUGGGAGGAAGGGAAGUAAGUUAAUACCUUGAUGUUUUGACGUUACCAACAGAAUAAGCACCGGCUAACUUCGUG
Molecule: ribosomal RNA, 484 nt
Filed under: uncultured bacterium
Lineage: Bacteria
Description: partial 16S ribosomal RNA
Rfam family: Bacterial small subunit ribosomal RNA
Source: RNAcentral